AUGCAGCUGACGAGUCCUAAAUAGGACGAAAUGCGCGUCUUACUGGAU
This is a non-coding RNA of Schistosoma haematobium, 48 nucleotides long. The record is from Rfam. Lineage: Eukaryota; Metazoa; Platyhelminthes; Trematoda; Strigeidida; Schistosomatidae.